CAUCCUAUUGCUGAGAAGCUGAUCAAACUUGGUCAUUUAGAGGAAGUAAAAGUCGUAACAAGGUUUCCGUAGGUGAACCUGCGGANNNNNNAGGAUCAUUAUUGAAUAAACCUGAUGUGACUGUUAGCUGGCUUUUCGAAGCAUGUGCUCGUCCAUCAUCUUUAUCUCUCCACCUGUGCACAUUUUGUAGUCUUGCAUACCUCUCGAGGAAACUCGGAUUUGAGGAUCGCCGUGCUGUACAAGUCGGCUUUUCUUUCAUUUCCAAGACUAUGUUUUUAUAUACACCAAAGUAUGUUUAUAGAAUGUCAUCAAUGGGAACUUGUUUCCUAUAAAAUUAUACAACUUUCAGCAACGGAUCUCUUGGCUCUCGCAUCGAUGAAGAACGCAGCGAAAUGCGAUAAGUAAUGUGAAUUGCAGAAUUCAGUGAAUCAUCGAAUCUUUGAACGCACCUUGCGCUCCUUGGUAUUCCGAGGAGCAUGCCUGUUUGAGUGUCAUUAAAUUCUCAACCUUCCAACUUUUAUUAGCUUGGUUAGGCUUGGAUGUGGGGGUUGCGGGCUUCAUCACUGAGGUCGGCUCUCCUUAAAUGCAUUAGUGGAACUUUUGUGGNACCAUCUAUUGGUGUGAUAAUUAUCUACGCCGUGGGUGUGAAGCAGCUUUAUGAAGUUCUGCUUCUAACCGUCCAUUGACUUGGACAAUUUUGACAAUUUGACCUCAAAUCAGGUAGGACUACCCGCUGAACUUAAGCAUAUCAAUAAGCGGAGGAAAAGAAACUAACAAGGAUUCCCCUAGUAACUGCGAGUGAAGCGGGAAAAGCUCAAAUUUAAAAUCUGGCAGUCUUUGGCUGUCCGAGUUGUAAUCUAGAGAAGUAUUAUCCGCGCUGGACCGUGUAC
This 890-nucleotide ribosomal RNA is filed under the name Laccaria amethystina. Its description in RNAcentral is "eukaryotic LSU rRNA". The stretch from base 341 to 494 matches the Rfam family "5.8S ribosomal RNA". The record is from RNAcentral. Lineage: Eukaryota; Fungi; Basidiomycota; Agaricomycetes; Agaricales; Hydnangiaceae.